Molecule: non-coding RNA, 5629 nt
Organism: Triticum urartu
Lineage: Eukaryota; Viridiplantae; Streptophyta; Magnoliopsida; Poales; Poaceae
Source: RefSeq, a predicted model, not a curated record
AAAAAUGCUGCAAUGAUAAGGGGUCGAAUUCACGGGGUAAGAGCAAGCGGAAGCUACGAGCGCCUCCUCUCCCGCUCGCGCUCGCGCCGCCGCCUCCGCUGAGAGGACCUGGCGGUCUCCUCUCCCACUCGCGCCUCUCCCUCUCCUCUUUCUCCUGCUCGCCUCUCACCUGAUCCCUAGCCCACCGCCCGCCUCCCUGCCCCGCCGCCGCCCGCCACCGCCUGCUGCCGCCGCCGCCCGCCGCCGUCUCGUCUGAACCGGCAAGACGCCAAACCCAGCGCCCCCUCCCGUCCUCGGCCAUCCAGCCCCCAACCCCACCCCACCCACCUGUCCCCUCCCUCCCAAACCCCAGAAUCCCCUGCCCGCGCCGACCCAACCAAUCCCGCACCCACGCGCCCGCACAUGCGCAGCAGCAGGGCGUCGACGACGAGGACGACGACGACGACGCGGCGCAACGGAGGGGUGCAGGUCAGCGAAGGGCACAGGCCACUGCUCACGCCGCUGCUGCGCUCGGUGCUCAACAGGAGUAGCUCGUGCUACGUCCGCACCGCCGGAGAGGACGCCAAGAUGAGCAUGGAGGUGCAUGGGUUGCGCAUUCGGAUGAAGACUCAGUAGGUGGAGCAGCAAGAGGUGCCCCUCCGUAGGGCAGAUUUGUGGCCACACAUCUAUCACCAGCUGGUCCAUAUAGAGGAGGAGAUAAGGUACAUAUCAAGACACCUUUCUCCGUGACUUCCGUUGUUGAUGGUCAUGAUUCUGUUUAGUUACAGGGCGUGGGGUGCUCUUCUUGGAAGACGGUUAGCGGAGCGUGGAAUUAUAGUCGCUUGCAUUGAUUAUAGAAAUUUGCCCCAAGGAACAAUAAGUGACAUGGUCAGUGAUGCUUUUGAGGCAUUUUCAUUUAUUUGUGAUACUAUUGCUAGCUAUGGAGGAGAUCCUAAUCAGAACUAUGCGCCACACUUGAAUAUUUGAUCCUUUUGGGCGGUGAUUCUAUCCAAAGUCGUUGUUGUGACGUCGGUGAGCAACCUCGGGCACCACACUGAGUGCUACCGCCUCCCCACCACUCAUGACGCCAGGCUGUUCUACUUCUUCGAAUUCAGGUGGCACAAGGAGGACCCAGUGGUGAUCUGGCUGAUGGGAAGGCCCGGCUACUGCAGCGAGCUAGCCCUCUUCUACGAGAACGGCGCCUUCCACAUAGCAGACAACAUGUCGCUACUCUGGAAUGAGUUUGGUUGGGAUCAGGUAUAUUAUAUAUACCGACAGUUUGCGUACUAAUCAAUCAAUCUGUAUAAUAUUUUUCUUAGAGAUUGUUUAGACCCUGUAUAAUCUUCUCUCUGUUUGGAAUUGGAUAUUGGCUACUGCAGGAGUCGAAUCUUAUCUAUGUUGAUCAGCAAACUGGGACUGGGUUCAGCUACAUGUCUGAUUCUGAUUAUUCACUAUAUGUAGUUUUGCAAUUGAUGCGAUUAGGAUAUUACUGGGGGAUUUUAUCUAGGUUCCAGGGUGUUGAAAAUUAAAAAGAAUGUAACUAAAAUUUUACUAAAUUUAAAGCUGCAUGUAAGAUUUAUGGUUUAAAAAGAACAUACUUCCAAGUUCCAGAUCAGUUUGCGGUGUGUGUGUGCGCGCGCUCAAAAGGUAUAAUUUAGUUUAAUGGAUGCUAUGCAUCUUGAGAGUACUUGAUCUUUGUAUAUGUAUUACAGUUUGCCAUCUGGUGUCAAUCUAAUUUCUUAACACGAAAAUGAGCAAUUGUGAUGCACCUCUUCUUUCCUAAUAAUAGUUUGCUUCUGACUAGCGACUGGUGGCGCUGGGUGCGCUUGCUUACUUUGUCGCGCAACUUCUUUGAUCACCGCGUAGAACCUGACCUGGGUGUUGCAGGGAGGCGUGCAACGACGGCAUGAAGAACAACAUCGAGACCAUACGUUCGGUUUCUCUGUGCCCGCUCUGCUGCCAUCCACACCCGCACUAUCCCAGCUCUUGUGCCGGCUCGAGGAGAAGCUCAGGCCGCCACCACACAAAGGGAGAGGAACCCAAGAUGAAUCUAUCCCGCCUUACUGUCCAUGACCCGACGACAGACAGCUACUUCGAGCCUAGGCUCGUCGGCGGGGCAGUGCAAGGUGUAACUCCGACGUGGUUCCUCGCCGGUUGGACGGUGUUCAGGCGCAACCCGGUGCCCACUGAGUACUGCCUCGGCUACAACCUCCCUUGGUGAGCUCCAUCUUCCUCCUGCUCAUCUGCUUCGGCUACUGCAUUGGACAUGGCCGUGGCUAUAUUGAUGUGGUGCUCGUCUGGUUGAUGCUCUAUUCCCUGCUCAUGCAUCGGUUCCUACUUGAGCUCUUUAGUUGUAGAUGCAUGCUAUUCUAGGGUUUGCAGGCUGAGUUCAUGUUUGGUUUCUAUCAUAGGAGUUCCUGCGAUGAUCUGGUUUACAUGUGGAUGCUCUGGUUGUAUAGUUAUGCUCCUGGAUUUGCAAAAUUGACCAGUAGUGUUCGUGCUAGAGCGAUGAUGAUUAACCUUGACUGAAAUAAGUGUGCCUUUGAGCAAUCGAGGCACCCGUGGGUAUCAAGCUGGAUCCUCCCUCUUGUCUCUAGAGUCCUUUUUGAUCCUGUGAUACUUGUUGUUAUGUCCUAGGAUGGUCAUUCUUGUUGAGUGAUAACCAGGGCAGCUCCAUUGUAUAAACAGAUUGAUCUAUGAUAAGAGAUGACGGGGGUAGGUUAUAUGAUCGAGGAAAGCCGAAUCUGAGCCCACUAUGCAAUGAACCCUGAACUAUUUUUAUUUGUACUUAAAGGUGUUACUUAUUUAUGCUCCGAUGGCUUUCGUGCUGGGGCGAUGAUGAUUAGCCGUGUCUGAAAUAAGUGUGCCUUCGAGCAAUCGAGGCACCUGUGGGUAUCAAGUUGAAUCCUCCCUCUUGUCUCUAGAAUCCUUUUUGAUCCUGUGAUACUUGUUGCUCUGUCCUUGGAUGGUCAUUCUUGUUGAGUGAUAACCAGGGCAGCUCCACUGUAUAAAAAGAUUGAUCUGGUGAUAAGAGACGGGGGUAGGUUAUAUGAUCGAGGAAAGUCAGAUCUGAGCCCACUAUGCAAUGAACCCUGGAUCCUUUUUAUUUGUAUUUAAAGGUGUUGCUUAUUUAUGCUCCGGUGUUUAUAGUCGUCUUAUGUAAAGAUUUCUUCUCUCUCAUACCUUUAUUGCAUAUGAGUUGUUCUUGAUCUUUUAUUGUUUGUUGUUGAUCCUUGAUUUAAUCUGGUUAAGAGUAAGCUGCACUUUGUUAUACUAGAAAGACAUGCUCCCAGCAAGUUAUAGGGGCCUCUCUUGCUGCCUUAAGUUUGUAUGGUAAAGUAUGCAUCAUGUGUGCCUCUGUUUUGUUUCCCUCUUGUAUUCCUAUGUCUUGCCUCACAUAUCAUGGCACUUGAUAUAUGCAUGGUUGUUGGCGAUCGGACGCCACCACCGCCGCCGAUGCCAUCGUGGCUCUUGCCGCCGUCAAACAUUAAGUAAGUCGUGACCUUCUCUUUUUUUUCUUAGUGAUAUGCGCAUGGUUGCAACUACUCUACUGAUUACAAAAGAAACAUGAGCAUGGCAGAGGUUGGUUACAAAAGUUUCCUUCGUUCUUUCAUGUUGGAGUCAGUGGCAGUACCUUGCCAGUUAAGUUGCCUUCUUUCCUAUUAGAAAGCAGUGUAUGCUCUCUAGCUACUUAGUUUUCUUUCUUGGCUGUAGUUUAUUUCAUAUUUGUAGUUUCAAAAUGAUAUGUCAAACAUGCUCUAAUUUUUUCAUGCCAUUAGAGAUUUCGGCUCAUAUUACUUCCUCUAUGUUUAUGGUUGGGUAGUGGUGCUUUACUGAUUAGGUAUUCUCAAUCAUGUAUCAUAUCUACGUUCAAAAAUAUGUUGGAGUCAGUAGCUGCGACCGUGGUUCAGCCUGCAAUUCCUGUUGGCUAUGCUGAUGGCCCUACCGCUGUGAUUGAUGCCGAUGUCCUUCUGUAGUGACAGAUGUUGCACGCCAGAUAGGUCUCGACGGCGUGCAGUAUUUAGUUUUAGCUUUAUUGUGUGAGUUGUUUGUGUUUUUCUGGUUUUCCAUUGGUCCUAAACUGUACAUCGAAAUCAGUGUAGAUGUAUUAAGAGAGAUGAGCUACUAUGUAGGCAUUAUUUGUUUUUGUUAUGUACCUGGUUACUUAAUAAUCGUUCUUAAUAUUGGAAAGGGACAGAAAUAAGCUGAGUAUUUGAUCUGACUUGGUAGUGUUUGCCGUUUAACACAUCUAUGUCAUUAGACCAGUUCUUUUUUCUUCUCACAGUUUGUCAUUUAGAAUGAUUUUUUAGAGGAACCAGGAACUGGUUCCUGAUUCACUUUGUCCUCUUUGUUGAUGAUCCUUUUCUUCCUAUGGUUAUGCAGGCUUGAGUCUCAGUUUGAUCUUACGGUUCAAAGGUUGAUGACUGCCAUGAGGCACUACCCAGUUAAAUCUUCAUAAGUUGUUGAGCAUGAACUUUUCUUCUUAAUUAUUUUCAUCUUCUUAGCCUUGCCACAUCAUCUCUUAAAAAUAGUUUGAAUCCAUCAACUGUGUGCUCUGCCUAUGCAAUUCAUUGAACCGUAAGAUUAAAACCUUCAUAAGGUGUAGCCCUGUCUCCAACUACCUUCUGAAUAUUAACAUUUUUGUUGGAAAAAGAAGAAAGAUUGAAUCAUAGUUUGCAUUAAAUGAAAAUGAGUUUUUUUUACAUUUUGUUCACUCACUAGGAGGGUCACUAUUUAUAUGCUUGCUUCAACUUUUUCCGGAUCACCAUGUAAAUCAUUUGUACAGGAGCUCUGGAACAAGAAAAACAAUAAUCACAAGGAUGGAGGCUUAACAUGUAUUUUGUUUGCCAUCUGGUGUUUAUCUAAUUUUUUGAUGGUGUGACCAAAACCAGAUUACCUUUUCUAAUGUUAGUAUUGGAGUGCUAUCUGCAAUGGCAUCUACUAUAUAUAUACUGAAAGUAGUUUUAUUUAUCUUUAGAACUUGAUAUAUUUUCUAAAACCACAUAUUAUGCUUCUAUUUGUAUCUAUGACUUCUGAAGCAAGUCAACACCCACACAGGCAAACAAACCAAACUGCCGGUAGAGUCACCGUAUAUAAGGAAAUUUACUUUGCUUCCAGUAGUGGGUUUAGGCUUGAUAGAAGCUUGGUUGUUUAUAUUUUCAGAAAACUGGAUCUAUCAUGAUUAAGAUAUGGUCAACAUGUAUAUAUUUGGUUCUACUGUGCCCUCCAGUGUUGCUUACCAAUGUGAUUGCUUAAUGAUUACUAUGACAUAUCUUGCUAGGUCCAAGCUGACAACAAUCCUCUUGGUCUUAAAAAUUUUGUCGAGGCGGCAGGGAUCAAAGAAUAACAGAUCUGGGUCUUCGCCUUCUAAGAUUAGAAGGGGGAAACCAUCGCUCACUGUCCAUAUGCUUUAAAAGCAAAUCUCAAGUGCAUUGCCUAUACAAAAAUAAUUUUGUGGUCAUCUAUCUCACAAACUAUUCACAUCAAGUUCAUAUGGAAUGGCACUCACGGAGGCAAUUGAGCCAAGCUAUCUAUUGUAUGCCUAACUAUGGCUUCGUAGUUUUAUUGCCUCCAUUGCCAUUGUUUGCUUUUUCUCUCUUAUGUUUCUGCUCAUAUUACUGAACUUAAUGUUAGCUAAUUAGUUUUUCUA